This is a long non-coding RNA of Orbicella faveolata, 4553 nucleotides long. NCBI's taxonomy places the organism in Eukaryota, Metazoa, Cnidaria, Anthozoa, Scleractinia, Merulinidae. The record is from RefSeq and is a predicted model, not a curated record.
AAAAAUUGUUGGUCACAGAUGCAAGACGAUUUUGCUUGUGAAGUUGCGUUAAUUCACCAAGCUGUGAGAGCACGCGCGAUCAAAAUAGUACAAAUGCUUUCGGUAAAUCGAGAUCAAAAUUUCGAAUCUACAAUAGCACGAAAUGAGAGAUAAAACGUAAAAAAAGUAUAAAUUCAACGUCCAAAUAUGCCAGUAGGUAAUCGCUUGUCUUAUUUUCUUUCAAUUGUAAUAACAGCGAUGCUACUAAGUCGGUCUUGCCCUAUUGGAUCUUAAAAAUGUCUUAAUGCGCGGAAGGGCGCUGAAAGACCUUACAUCAGAGCACGACGUUGCAGGAACUGUGGCCAGGAUGGAGGUAACUCUAACCCUAAAUGGAGACCAUUUUGAUGCAUGGUUUUUACCAACACGGCUGUUUUUUCCUCUGGCAUUGGUCCCCGCAGUUGUAGUUUUCAAAGAUUGACUUCUCAAGCGAUAGCAUUUCACUACCCACGCCGUAUAAAUGUGAUACAAUUUGCGUGUUGCUGCGGCUUGGAGAAAAGAUAUCUUCAACAUUGCGCAAAACAAUUUUAACGCUCGCAAAAAUUACGACUUGUCUUAGCUAUCUGCAACAUCCUUUACAAUAAAGGUAACAAAAGUAACUUGUUUUUACUAUCUACAACAUUGUGACACAUUUUUAACUUGCGUCAACUGUUUAAAUUACAUUGCAGGACACAACCUCGGCGUGUACUCUAUCUUCAAUAUUGCAUGCGAUACUUUUAGCUUGUCUUGAUUAUGUGCAACUUCUCAAGCGGCUUUUCCAUCUGUUGUCUUUUACCUGUACCAUUGCGCGAAGAGGCCUUCCACAAUUAUCAGCUAUUUCAUUUUUCCUUGUUAAAACGUAGUUUAAUCCCAAACGAAACUCGCCAAUUAUUUCUUAGUAUAGAGCAGUUAUUUCUUAGUAUAGAGGUUAAGGCAACAUUUUCAUACUUGUCUUUCAACAUUUUCAAAACUUGUCUUUCCCCCUUUCCCUCCCCGUUUCUCCAGUUAAGUUUUUGUGGGGCUAUGCAUAAGGCCCGCUAAGUCAAAGCAAAUAUGUAUGUAUACGGGAUGACACCUAACAGACCUCCCAGAGCAUAUUUUGCCCUAUAGGUAGACUGGGUACUAGCAUUUGCCGGGUUCGAGGGUGGCCAUUGCCAGCGUUCUGCAGCCUUCGUUGGGUGCACCGUUUCAUAUCGUGUUCUCUGCGCCCUUAUUUUAAGUUAAGUAAUUCUUGUACAGCUUACUUUCAUCUUUCUAGUAGUUGCCUACUCGUAAGACUAGAAUACGUCAACCCAAUGCAGUGCUGGAAAUAAUUUUUCCUCUUUAACGGGUCAUGUGUCCUUUCAAAUCUUCAUUUGGCUGGACACGCUAAAUGCCGGACUUGGUCGGUCCUUGGUCUUGUGCUCAAGAUCUCGAGCACAGCUUUUCCCAAUACGGAACGACCAAGGCUGGCAAAUAACAUAUAUGGUUAUAUAUAUGGUUAGCUACGAUUCAUCGCUAAAAUGAACGUGAUUUCGCGUUAGUUCCCGCGUGAAACAGUGUUCCCGCGAAUUUUUUCCGUGACGCGUCCGUUUCGACCCAAAGAAACUGGGAACGAAAGAGGAUCCAACAUGGCGGGUUGCGUGGCAGUGGAUAAUUCUGAGCAGAUUUUGAUAAUAUGAUUAUGUUUUGACGCUGAAGCUGCGACGAGGAGGCCCUUUAUGAUAUCAGUUGAGUUUUGAAAGGCAUUUGCCUUCGUCUGGUUGGAUUUGGGUGCAAAGAAAAAUCGCUGCAGCGGCAACAAAACACUGAAACAGAAACCACGUUCACAAACGCUGAUAGCUCCGACAACAGCCUGGCAAUUCCUAGCUAAUGAAAAACUCCUACCCGAGGCUGAAAUCAACGCCAACUGCAAUGAUUGAAAAUGAUAGACCACGAGUUUGGUCUCUAAAAACAUCUAUGUGUCAUACUUGUUGCCCUGAGGUUGUCUGGUAAAAGGUCGGCCAGCUUGAUGAAUUUUCUGUUGGUGAUUUAAAUGAGCACCAACUUGUGUAGGAUGGGAAAGUACAGUAGCUCAGGCCAGUUACAAAAUCUUUUCUGAUCACACAUGUACAUGUAGCUAAAGCUGAAAUGGCUGGAAUCAAGGACACGACACUGCCCCCAGCACUCGAUGACUGCGGGCCUGCCAAUAGCAGCAUAAGGCGGCAAAGAAAGAGUACAGAAAGUAGAUAUGAAUGAAGGAACUGGGAUGUUACAUGUACAUGUACCUGACGCAAUGGCCUGACCAGUGUUUGUAAAGGUACAGUGUAGUGUCCAUGUUGAGAUGGGGCUUGUGUUUGAUGGGGUGUUCUGCAUGAGACCGUGUCGUGUUUGUGGAUUGUGGCAAGAAAUUCAGGUCCUGAUAGACAAACAAGAUCAAAAUAUAAACUCACCUAAAAUUAAUGGAAGAUGUGUCCAAAUGAGGCUCAGAUUUACCCAGCCAAGAAUGUGAAUGAGAUACAAGAGAGUUAAAAGUCAUGGUAAGUGUGUUUGCUAGCAAGAUUAUUCUUGGAGAUCAUAAGCUCAUCUGAAGUGUGCUAGUCAUAGAAUCGAAGUAGCCUCCCUCGCUUUUUUUCUUGCUUCAUCUAUGUGUUGUGUAACACAAAAGAAUGCAGAAGAGUAAGAGAGCACCUAAGAAGAAGGAUGACCAACUAAUUAAGAGAAUGACCUUCCACAACCAAGUGAUUCUGCAUUGUGAAUUUCACAUAAUAAUUUGUAUUAUGGCCUUAAUUUUUACUGUACCCAGUGUCAUUGUGCAACUGUAUGAGGUGUUUAGAAAACAAUGUUAUUAACCUGUCACGUCAAUACAGCAAGAUGAAAUGAAGUGAUAAGGCCCACGAGCUCCGCUCUUCUAAAGGCUUGCCUAAAUCUACAUGUACAUUAUAUAAUUAUAUUUAUUUACGUUUUCUAAAGCGGAACGUAAUAUGAUUCCUGUCAUUCUCAGCAAGGGGAACACUGUUCAACACUGUUGUAGUGGGGGAGAGGGGGGAGAGGGAUGGAGGGACUUCAUCUGUAGAUCCAGUUCUGUAUGUACUAUCAGUAACUGCUGCACUUGUUGUUUUAAAUACAUGCAAGCUCUUGUGCCCUUUGAUGCUGAGAGGCUAACUGGCUUGUUUAUUUUUAUUAAUGUCUUUUAUAAAGGAACUGACCAAGACAUUAAAAAUCCAAACCAAAUAGAAGGUUAGAAGGUCUAAGAGCAGACUCAAGUCAGAUGGAAUGUGAAUGAGAAAUAGAAAAGCUAAGAGUCAUGGCCGGCCUUGUAGCGAUGGUCAACAUGACUAUCAUAAUUCAGGUAAAGCCCAGUGUUUGUUGGCUUUCUGUAUACACUUGUGCUGAGUAUAGUGCUGUUCUUUGCAAUAUUCAUUCCCAGAAAAGGAAGGGUGUUGUCCAUAGCAGUUUCCAUGGUGAAAUUAAAGGAGGGGUGUUUUGAGUUCAAAACAUCAAGGGAGGAGGUAGCUGCUUGGGGGUUAGGCACUCUCGUUUGUAGUAGUGAGGCAUUUGGCCGUCGUCUUGUCAGUGUUUUAAUGUCUGAACGAAUUGCGGUUAUUUUGCCAACAAGUUCUUUAGCCAACGACUUGUUCGCCAACGUCUUAGGUCGAUUCGCCUAUGUCCUACAAUGUAUGUUGCUUUGCCAACGUCCUCCUGGUCAAUUCGCCAACGUCAGAUAUCCAGUACUAAUGAAAAAAAUAAGCUGCUUAGUGAUGUUUGGAAUGCAAUCCUGAUCCUUGGGUGAUCCUUGGGUCAAGAAAUUUUAAGUCACAGCUAGUUUCGCUUGACUGACUUCAGAUCAAUUUGCAUGUUUUUGAUAGUUUCACAAGCCAGCUCAUAAGCACUACAUCGCGGUAAUUUUCACAGUAAUUUUCAUGGUGGGGCCAUUAUCUUUCUGAUAUUAUUACUGGUACACCACAUCAUCACCAGAAUAAGCCGUCUGAAGGCCAACCUCUUGUACCUUAAAAAAAAAUCUUAGCGGGAUGGGUAGCAUAGCAGAUUCGCACUUAUUAUUAUGACGGCUUAGGAUAUUCACUCAUUAUCCAGCUUGGGGUUUGCUUUGAGUUUGAUGAGACAUCAAACGAUUAGACGAUAAAGAAAAGAGGUCAAGUCAGCGUUGUUAUUGAUUAAGAAUCCUCUCGCAGACAAAUCAGCUAAGCACACAAUAUUGCAAGAGAACUGCCGCCAGCACACACAAGUGAAGGUAAACUUUUAUUUAGACAUUCGCGAAUUGACCGGUAGGAUGUUGGCAAAUCGACCUAAAACGUUGGCGAACGAGACAUUGGCUAAACAACUCGUUGGCGAAACAACCGGAUACCGUCUGGACAAGUCUUGGAUUUUAGCAUUUUUUACACCUUGUACAAUGUACAUGACUGUGCAUUUUUUUGUUAGAAAUAAGUAUACUUUAGAGUGUUGACAGUUAUACCAUGGAGGUAUCAGACCCUGUACAACAUGUAUCUGGUGGUUAUACAUGUUGUACUUCUGUAGGGUACAUUACUUGUAUAUAUUCACCAGGGCUCCUUACACUGCGU